GCGGUCGUGGCGGAAUUGGCAGACGCGCUAGAUUCAGGUUCUAGUGGUCGCAAGACCGUGGAGGUUCAAAUCCUCUCGACCGCACCA
Molecule: transfer RNA, 87 nt
Filed under: Desulfotruncus arcticus DSM 17038
Lineage: Bacteria; Bacillati; Bacillota; Clostridia; Eubacteriales; Desulfallaceae
Description: tRNA_Leu_CAG
Rfam family: tRNA
About the family: Transfer RNA (tRNA) molecules are approximately 80 nucleotides in length. Their secondary structure includes four short double-helical elements and three loops (D, anti-codon, and T loops).
Source: RNAcentral